UCCCCGUUAUCCUGGGCAGUCCUUCCAGAGUUCCCGGCAUGACCCGUUGGCAACUGGAAGCAGGGGUUGCACUCGUUAUAGGACUUAACCUGACACCUCACGGCACGAGCUGACGACAACCAUGCAGCACCUUGUAAAUUGUCUUGCGAAAGAUCUGUUUCCAAACCGGUCAAUCUGCAUUUAAGCCUUGGUAAGGUUCCUCGCGUAUCAUCGAAUUAAACCACAUGCUCCACCGCUUGUGCGGGCCCCCGUCAAUUCCUUUGAGUUUCAGUCUUGCGACCGUACUCCCCAGGCGGCGAACUUAACGCGUUAGCUUCGAUACUGCGUGCCAAAUUGCACCCAACAUCCAGUUCGCAUCGUUUAGGGCGUGGACUAC
This 376-nucleotide unclassified non-coding RNA is filed under the name uncultured bacterium. Its description in RNAcentral is "contains 16S-23S intergenic spacer region". The record is from RNAcentral.